GACGAACGCUGGCGGCGUGCUUAACACAUGCAAGUCGAGCGGUAAGGCCCUUUCGGGGGUACACGAGCGGCGAACGGGUGAGUAACACGUGGGUGACCUGCCUCUAGCUCUGGGAUAAGCCCGGGAAACUGGGUCUAAUACUGGAUAUGACUCCAUGACGCAUGUUGUGGGGUGGAAAGCCUUGUGCGGCUAGAGAUGGGCCCGCGGCCUAUCAGCUUGUUGGUGGGGGAUGGCCUACCAAGGCGACGACGGGUAGCCGGCCUGAGAGGGCGACCGGCCACACUGGGACUGAGACACGGCCCAGACUCCUACGAGAGGCAGCAGUGGGGAAUCUUGCGCAAUGGGCGAAAGCCUGACGCAGCGACGCCGCGUGAGGGAUGACGG
RNAcentral lists this ribosomal RNA (384 nucleotides) under uncultured bacterium. RNAcentral's name for it is "bacterial SSU rRNA". It matches the Rfam family "Bacterial small subunit ribosomal RNA", at positions 28 to 414 of the family's 1533-position model. The record is from RNAcentral.